This 1461-nucleotide long non-coding RNA is filed under the name Oryctolagus cuniculus (rabbit). RNAcentral describes it as "lncRNA (ENSOCUG00000030375.1)". Lineage: Eukaryota; Metazoa; Chordata; Mammalia; Lagomorpha; Leporidae. The record is from RNAcentral.
AUGGGGAAGAUGCUCAGCAAGCAUGAAUGUGGAGGGAGAGGCACCGAGCGUGGGUGUGCAUGGAGAGGGAUCGAGCGUGGGUGUGCAUGGAGAGACACCGAGCGUGUGUGUGGAGGGAGAGGCACCGAGUGUGGGUGUGCAUGGAGAGACACUGAGCGUGUGUGUGCAUGGAGAGGCACCGAGUGUGGGUGUGGAGGGAGAGGGAUCGAGCGUGGGUGUGCAUGGAGAGGCACAGAGCGUGGGUGUGCAUGGAGAGACACUGAGCGUGUGUGUGCAUGGAGAGGGAUUGAGCGUGUGUGUGGAGGGAGAGGCACCGAGCGCGGGUAUGCAUGGAGAGGCACAGAGCGUGGGUGUGCAUGGAGAGGCACAGAGCGUGGGUGUGGAGGGAGAGGCACCGAGCGUGGGUGUGCAUGGAGAGGGAUCGAGCGUGGGUGUGCAUGGAGAGGGAUCGAGCGUGGGUGUGGAGGGAGAGGCACAGAGCGUGGGUGUGGAGGGAGAGGCACAGAGUGUGGGUGUGCACGGAGAGGGAUCGAGCGUGGGUGUGCAUGGAGAGGCACAGAGCGUGGGUGUGCAUGGAGAGACACUGAGCGUGGGUGUGCAUGGAGAGACACUGAGCGUGUGUGUGCAUGGAGAGACACUGAGCAUGUGUGUGCAUGGAGAGGCACCGAGUGUGGGUGUGCAUGGAGAGGCACAGAGCGUGGGUGUGGAGGGAGAGGCACAGAGUGUGGGUGUGCAUGGAGAGGGAUUGAGCGUGUGUGUGGAGGGAGAGGCACCAAGCGUGGGUGUGCAUGGAGAGACACUGAGCGUGUGUGUGGAGGGAGAGGCACCAAGUGUGGGUGUGCAUGGAGAGACACUGAGCGUGUGUGUGGAGGGAGAGGCACCAAGUGUGGGUGUGCAUGGAGAGACACUGAGCGUGGGUGUGGAGGGAGAGACACUGAGGGUGUGUGUGCAUGGAGAGACACCGAGCGUGGGUGUGCACGGAGAGGCACAGAGCGUGUGUGUGCAUGGAGAGGCACAGAGCGUGGGUGUGCAUGGAGAGGCACUGAGCGUGGGUGUGGAGGGAGAGGGACCGUAGCCUGGGUGAGCAGGGAGAGACACCGAGCGUGGGUUGGAGGGCGAGGCACUGAGCGUGUGUGUGGAGGGAGAGGCACCGAGCGUGGGUGUGGAGGGAGAGGCACCGAGCGUGGGUGUGGAGGGAGAGGAACCGAUAAUGGGUGUGGAGGAAGAGGGACCGAGCGUGGGUGUGGAGGGCGAGGCACCAAGCAUGGGUGUGGAGGGAGAGGCACCGAGCGUGGGUGUGGAGGGAGAGGAACCGAGCGUGGGUGUGGAGGGAGAGGCACCGAGCGUGGGUGUGGAGGGCGAGGCACCGAGCGUGGGUGUGGAGGGAGAGGCACCGAGCGUGGGUGUGGAGGGAGAGGCACCGAGCGUGGGUGUGGAGGGAGAGGCACCGAGCGUGGGUGA